GUGAUGACACAGCCAUCACCAUUAGUCUUUCCACUCUGAAGUAUUCCUACCUAGCACCAACUGGCCCUGUUUACCUGAGUGCUCUCUCUUCAUAAACCUGAGGAAAGCAGGGCAGUAACUUCUAGAAACAGCUAUUAUCCGAGAACUACAGAGAGCAGACAAUUGAGCCAAGAUGCUCCAAGAUACAAGAAACGGAGGCGACAUCUGUUUUUGCUGCCUUUCGCUGUAUUUAUCCUUAAUCCUGGGACAUAGCCAAGCUGUGCCUAAUACUGAGCCUGAUCUCUCAACAAACCAUUUCAUACAGAA
Non-coding RNA from Rattus norvegicus (Norway rat), 306 nucleotides. The record is from RefSeq and is a predicted model, not a curated record. Lineage: Eukaryota; Metazoa; Chordata; Mammalia; Rodentia; Muridae.